GACGAACGCUGGCGGCGUGCUUAACACAUGCAAGUCGAACGGAAAGGCCCUGCUUUUGUGGGGUGCUCGAGUGGCGAACGGGUGAGUAACACGUGAGUAACCUGCCCUUGAUUUUGGGAUAACUUCAGGAAACUGGGGCUAAUACCGGAUAGGAGCUCCUGCUGCAUGGUGGGGGUUGGAAAGUUUCGGCGGUUGGGGAUGGACUCGCGGCUUAUCAGCUUGUUGGUGGGGUAGUGGCCUACCAAGGCUUUGACGGGUAGCCGGCCUGAGAGGGUGACCGGCAGCAAUAGUACUACGGUGCGGCGCAGAAGCCUACGGGGGGAAGCAGUAGUGAGUAUUGCACAGUAAGCGGAAGCCGGCUGCAGCAGCGCCGCGUGCGGGAUGAAGGCCGUCGAGGUGUAGACAGCUGUCGCCUGUGACGAAGCGUGAGUGACGGUAAUGGGUAAAGAAGCACCGGCUAACUACGUG
This 468-nucleotide ribosomal RNA is filed under the name uncultured bacterium. Its description in RNAcentral is "partial 16S ribosomal RNA". It matches the Rfam family "Bacterial small subunit ribosomal RNA", at positions 28 to 507 of the family's 1533-position model. The record is from RNAcentral.